AUCGAACGCUGGCGGCAGGCCUAACACAUGCAAGUCGAGCGAGCGGCGGACGGGUGAGUAAUGUCUGGGAAACCGCCUGAUGGAGGGGGAUAACUACUGGAAACGGUAGCUAAUACCGCAUACCAUCGGAUGUGCCCAGAUGGGUUUAUCUUGUUGGUGGGGUAAUGGCUCACCAAGGCGACGAUCCCUCGCGGGUCUGAGAGGAUGACCGGCCACACUGGAACUGAGACACGGUCCGGACUCCUACGGGAGGCGGCGGUGGGGAGUAUUGCACAAGGGGCGCAGGCCUGAUGCAGCCAUGCCGCGUAGAUGAAAAAGGCCUUCGGUUUGUAAAGUACUUUCAGCGGGAAGGCGGUACCCGCAGAAGAAGCACCGGCUAACUCCGUGCCAGCAGCCGCGGUAAUAC
RNAcentral lists this ribosomal RNA (406 nucleotides) under uncultured bacterium. RNAcentral describes it as "partial 16S ribosomal RNA". It matches the Rfam family "Bacterial small subunit ribosomal RNA", at positions 29 to 526 of the family's 1533-position model. The record is from RNAcentral.